This 750-nucleotide ribosomal RNA is filed under the name Triticum aestivum (bread wheat). Its description in RNAcentral is "partial small subunit ribosomal RNA". The record is from RNAcentral. Lineage: Eukaryota; Viridiplantae; Streptophyta; Magnoliopsida; Poales; Poaceae.
AUGGAUUUGGGGACGGAGAAUCGCCUUGCGGCGUUGCUCCUCGAGGAGGCCCGGAGGCUGCGGAUGCAGGUGGAGAAGGAAGGGGUGCACGCCUAUCUGCAGAAACCUAAUGUGAGGCACCGCCCCUACUCGCGGUUCCUUGCCGCCACCGUUCUUGGCGUUCAUCAAGCAAAUCGAGUUGUGGAAGUUAAUGAGAUGUGGCGUGCCAGGGAGAAGGAGCUGGAGCUGGAAUUGAAGAUGAAAACCAGAACCAAUGGUCGAAUUGACUCGAGAUCCCAGAAACGGAAGAACGACUCAAGAGACCAGAGCCCUGUUUCUAAGACCCAGCGAGACAGACCGUAUGGCGCAUCAUUUUCGUCAAGGGAUUCACAAGGCAGUUCUUAUUCGGACCGGGGGGAUGGGCUAGGCGAUGAUGAAAUCGAAGAGUUUCUUCGAUCAAGGGUGAAGCGCGGGCGAGGAGCCAUUGGUUCUAGAAUGGAUGAGCCUGGCCCAUACCUCAAGCCUCCAUCCGGCGUGAAAGAUAAUUCAGUAAGUCCGGAUGCACGAGUGAAAGAAGAACGGAAGCACCGAGUUUAUGGUCCAGAGAAGCCACUAUUUUUUAGAUCUAAAUACUCAGACGAGGAGCCAUCCACCUCGAAGCACAAGCACAUAAAAGAAGAAAAGAACAAUAGUAGCAACCGAGAGAGAAAGGAGGAGAACAGGAGGUCCAAACAUCACCACCGUGAACAUAAAAGCCGAAGUAGGGAGUGA